GAUGAACGCUGGCGGCGUGCCUAAUACAUGCAAGUCGAGCGAACGGACGAGAAGCUUGCUUCUCUGAUGUUAGCGGCGGACGGGUGAGUAGCACGUGGAUAACCUACCUAUAAGACUGGGAUAACUUCGGGAAACCGGAGCUAAUACCGGAUAAUAUUUUGAACCGCAUGGUUCAAAAGUGAAAGACGGUCUUGCUGUCACUUAUAGAUGGAUCCGCGCUGCAUUAGCUAGUUGGUAAGGUAACGGCUUACCAAGGCAACGAUGCAUAGCCGACCUGAGAGGGUGAUCGGCCACACUGGAACUGAGACACGGUCCAGACUCCUACGGGAGGCAGCAGUAGGGAAUCUUCCGCAAUGGGCGAAAGCCUGACGGAGCAACGCCGCGUGAGUGAUGAAGGUCUUCGGAUCGUAAAACUCUGUUAUUAGGGAAGAACAUAUGUGUAAGUAACUGUGCACAUCUUGACGGUACCUAAUCAGAAAGCCACGGCUAACUACGUGCCAGCAGCCGCGGUAAUACGUAGGUGGCAAGCGUUAUCCGGAAUUAUUGGGCGUAAAGCGCGCGUAGGCGGUUUUUUAAGUCUGAUGUGAAAGCCCACGGCUCAACCGUGGAGGGUCAUUGGAAACUGGAAAACUUGAGUGCAGAAGAGGAAAGUGGAAUUCCAUGUGUAGCGGUGAAAUGCGCAGAGAUAUGGAGGAACACCAGUGGCGAAGGCGACUUUCUGGUCUGUAACUGACGCUGAUGUGCGAAAGCGUGGGGAUCAAACAGGAUUAGAUACCCUGGUACCCCACGCCGUAAACGAUGAGUGCUAAGUGUUAGGGGGUUUCCGCCCCUUAGUGCUGCAGCUAACGCAUUAAGCACUCCGCCUGGGGAGUACGACCGCAAGGGUUGAAACUCAAAGGAAUUGACGGGGACCCGCACAAGCGGUGGAGCAUGUGGUUUAAUUCGAAGCAACGCGAAGAACCUUACCAAAUCUUGACAUCUUUUGACAACUCUAGAGAUAGAGCCUUCCCCUUCGGGGGACAAAGUGACAGGUGGUGCAUGGUUGUCGUCAGCUCGUGUCGUGAGAUGUUGGGUUAAGUCCCGCAACGAGCGCAACCCUUAAGCUUAGUUGCCAUCAUUAAGUUGGGCACUCUAAGUUGACUGCCGGUGACAAACCGGAGGAAGGUGGGGAUGACGUCAAAUCAUCAUGCCCCUUAUGAUUUGGGCUACACACGUGCUACAAUGGACAAUACAAAGGGCAGCGAAACCGCGAGGUCAAGCAAACCUCAUAAAGUUGUUCUCAGCUCGGAUUGUAGUCUGCAACUCGACUACAUGAAGCUGGAAUCACUAGUAACCGUACAUCAACAUGCUACGGUGAAUUACGUCCCCCGGUCU
Molecule: ribosomal RNA, 1374 nt
Filed under: uncultured bacterium
Lineage: Bacteria
Description: bacterial SSU rRNA
Rfam family: Bacterial small subunit ribosomal RNA
Source: RNAcentral